GCCUCUGCCUUCCAAAGUGCUGGGAUUACAGGCAUGCACCACCACACCCAGCUUACUCUGACUAAUCUUUUAUUUCAGUCCCUUCCCCUUCCCUUUCUCCCUCAUUCCCCACUUCCUUUCCUCCCACUUUUCCUUUCUUCCUUCCUCAACUACUUGUUUAAAACCUGUUUCUCUUCUAGGCUAUAAAGAUCCCGUUUCCUUCCAGGCUGGUCUCGAACUCCUGACCUCAGGUGAUACACCCACCUCAGCCUCCCAAAGUGCUAGGAUUACAGGCGUGAGCCACCGUGCCUGGCCUUGAGUGUUACUUUAAAUCUAAUAUUGUUGUAUUGGGGUAGAGGUAGAGAAACCAUUGCCUGUAGUAACUUAGUAACAAUGGGUCUAUAUUAGUAGGGUUCUGAUCUGGGAAGAGGAUAUCAAUUAUUUACUUAAUAGAUAAUCAUUUACCACCUAUUUUGCUGAGUGAUUUAAUAUAGCACACCCUGCCUUCAAACUCUCUCUAUCCCUUUAUCCUGCUUUUCUUCAUGAAACGCAUGGUGGUGACUCACACCUGUAAUCCCAGCACUCUGGGAUGCUGAGGCAGGUGGAUCACUUGAGCCCAGGAGUUUGAGACCAGCCUUUUUAACAGGUGGCAUGUUGGAGCACGGGCCUGAGAAACAGUAUAGCUAGGAGGGGAAUUGAGUGUGAGACACUGGAAUCAGGCUGCUUGGAUUCUGGUCCUGGCUCCACUGUACACUAAGGCUGCAACCUUGGCCAAAGACUGUCAAGUACUUUGCAAAGGAAGAUAAACAAAAAAUGCUCAAUAUUAUUAAUUAUCAAGGGAAUGCAAAUUAAACCAAGAUGAGAGACAUCCACUAGAAUGGCUAAAUUUCUCUUGCCUGAUUGCUCUGGCUACGACUUCCAGUACCAUGUUGAAGAGGAGUGGUGAGAGUGGGCAUCCUUGUCUUGUUCUGAUUCUUAAGAGGAAUGCUUCCAGCCUUUGCCCAUUCAGUAUGAUGUUGGCUGUGGUUUGUCAUAUAUGGCUCUUAUUAUUUUGAGGUAUGUUCCUUCAAUGCCUAGUUUGCUGAGGGUUUUUGUGGUUUUGAUUUGCAUUUUCCUGAUGUUAUUUUUUUAAUAUACUUGUGGCCAUUUGGAAAUCUUCUCUGGAGAAAUGUCUGUACAGAUCCUCUGCCCAUUUUAAAAUUGGAUUAUUUGUUUUUUUAGCUCUUGUGUUGUUUCAGGACCUGUUUUGGACUUCGACUUCUGACAAUGUAAUACAAUCAAUUUGUGUUGUUUUAAGCCACUAAGUUUGUGGUAAUUUGUUGUUGCAGUAAUAAGAAACGAAUACACUACUUCAUUAGAUUACUGUAAUGAUUCCAAAAUUUAAUAGAUUAUGAGAAAGCACUUUGUAAACUAAGUGCUCUGCGGUUAAUGUCCCAAGGUUAAGAUAUUCUGUUCUCUUUGUCAGCAUAAACAUAAAAAAAUCCUUCACAGGGCGGGCGCAGUGGCUCACGCCUGUAAUCCCAGCACUUUGGGAGGCUGAGGCAGGAGGAUCAAGAGAUCAGGAGUUGCUAAUAAAAUAAAUGGAAAAUAAGAUUAAAAAGAAACUAAAAAAUACACUUGUUAUCAACAGUGGAAGGAAGUAUGAACAUGUUCAUUUUAAAAAAUGGUUUAUAUCUGAGAAUCAAUAGAUAUAGUCAAGCUGAUUUUUUAUCAGUUACGAUUUCAACAAAUGAUGCAAAGUUCUGACUAUAACCCUUCAAAAAAUGGAAAACAGAUCGUAAACCUUUUAAGUUGUCAGAAAAAGAAAAUACACAUACGCACACACACUCACACACCCAGAACACAAGACAUUCCAUUUAACAGAAAAUAGAAAAAAAAAAAGGAUAUGUAGGCAACAAAAAUAUGCAAUUAGGAGGCAGAAUAAAAUCAAGUAUAUUGAGAUAAAUCUACUUAUUGAAAUAAAAAAGACUCAGUUUCUCUAAAAAUGGCAAAUCCCAAUUAAAUGCUUAUGUACAAGUGACAUAUCUUGUAGGGGAGAAGAGAUUCCGUUUCUUGCCCAUAGAUAGGUUUAUGCCUGACAGUCCUAUAACAAAAGACAGAGUAACAAAAGAAAAACGUACAGAUUUAUUCAAUAUAAAUUUACAUGAAAAAGAGCCUUCAGAAAUGAAGAACCAAAGAAACAGAGAAAUGUGUAUUUUUAUGCUUAAGGUUGAUAAAAAGUGGACAGUCAUGUAGAAAUACAAUUGUCCAAAAAGGAGUAUGAUCUGAAAUGACUGAACAUUAAUAAACUGUAGGGAACUUACCAAAGCCUGUAUGUUCCGAUUCUUCUUGGUGUCUCUGUCUUUGAGGGUACUUCUGGAAUGAAGGUUCUUAUGACCUACUUUAUAGAAACGUCAGAGGAUUCUUUUAUGGCCUGCUUCAGGGGAGAAGGGUGGGAGAAGCUUACAGAGUGAACUUCCUGUUUUUGCUGUUUUCUGAAAUGCCAAGAUGCCAUAUUUUGUGGUAGUGUGUUCUGAACCCCAUCAAUCUAAAUGAGUGGUUUUCAAAGGGCAAGCAGUUAGGAGGUGAUUCUGCCUCCCAGGAGACAUUUGGCAAUGUGUGAAGAUGUUUAUGACUGUCAUAACUGGAAGUGGGGGUGCUGCUGGCAUCUGGUGAGCAGAGACCAGACAUGUUGCUAAACAUCUUACAACACACAGAGCAGCCCUCAGAACAUAAUAUUAUGCCAUCCAAAUGUCAGUAGUGCUGCUUUUGAAAAACCUAGAUUAAAAUGGAGUGUCUAAAAACGUUGAAGUACAAAAAAUCACAGCAAGCAAAUUAAAUUGCUGGAGUAAUAAAUUUGUUACUAGGCAAAAAUGUUAAAGCAUAGUACAGUACUUUGUGAUAUUGUAUUGAUAUGCAGUCAAUAAUGGAGAUGAGACUGUCUAUAGUCUUUUUGCAAUCAAUAAUAGGAUCAAAAAUAUUAAGCAUGCAUUAAACAAAUGUGAGGGGAAAUUAACCAAGACUCAAGAGUAGGAUAUGGGUGUGUGUAUUUCAAGCACCUAGAACAUCUACAAUAGAACAUAUGGCAAAAAUAAUAUAUAAAUAGUUUAGUUUGUUUUGUUUUCUCUUACUCGUUACCAUGAUUGUUUAAUGGCUGAAUCUAAAUAAUUCCUUGAGUUCUUAUCUAUGUUAAUUUUUGUUGGCAUUCAACCUUGUACUGCCCCCUUUGGCUGUCUUAUUCAAUGUCAUGACUUUAUUUGUCACAUCCAUGAAGAUGAUCCCAGCUCUGUUUAUCUCUCCCUAAGUUGACUUCUGAGCUACUAAUUACCUGCUAGACAUUUCAAUCUAUAUGUCUACAAGUAAG
This 3322-nucleotide long non-coding RNA is filed under the name Homo sapiens (human). RNAcentral describes it as "non-protein coding CASC15:10". The record is from RNAcentral. Lineage: Eukaryota; Metazoa; Chordata; Mammalia; Primates; Hominidae.